This 439-nucleotide ribosomal RNA is filed under the name uncultured bacterium. RNAcentral describes it as "bacterial SSU rRNA". It matches the Rfam family "Bacterial small subunit ribosomal RNA", at positions 339 to 794 of the family's 1533-position model. The record is from RNAcentral.
GUACGGGAGGCAGCAGUGGGGAAUAUUGCGCAAUGGGGGAAACCCUGACGCAGCAACGCCGCGUGGAGGAAGAAGGUUUUCGGAUUGUAAACUCCUUUGAUCAGGGACGAAAAAUGACGGUACCUGAAAAACAAGCCACGGCUAACUACGUGCCAGCAGCCGCGGUAAUACGUAGGUGGCGAGCGUUGUCCGGAAUUACUGGGUGUAAAGGGCGUGUAGGCGGGAUAUCAAGUCAGAUGUGAAAUUCUGAGGCUUAACCUCAGAGCUGCAACUGAAACUGAAAUUCUUGAGUGCUGGAGAGGAUAGUGGAAUUCCUAGUGUAGCGGUGAAAUGCGUAGAUAUUAGGAGGAACACCAGUGGCGAAGGCGGCUAUCUGGACAGUAACUGACGCUGAGGCGCGAAAGCGUGGGGAGCAAACAGGAUUAGAUACCCCGGUAGA